GACGAACGCUGGCGGCGUGCUUAACACAUGCAAGUCGAACGGAAAGGCCCUGCUUUUGUGGGGUGCUCGAGUGGCGAACGGGUGAGUAACACGUGAGUAACCUGCCCUUGACUUUGGGAUAACUUCAGGAAACUGGGGCUAAUACCGGAUAGGAGCUCCUGCUGCAUGGUGGGGGUUGGAAAGUUUCGGCGGUUGGGGAUGGACUCGCGGCUUAUCAGCUUGUUGGUGGGGUAGUGGCUUACCAAGGCUUUGACGGGUAGCCGGCCUGAGAGGGUGACCGGGCCACUUGGGGAUGUAGUACGGCCCAGGCCCCUACGGGGGGGAGCAGGGGGGAAUUUUGGACAAUGGGCGGAAGCCUGAAGGCGGCACCCCCCGGGGGGGAGGAAGGCCUUUGGGUUGGAAACCCCUUUCCCCCGGUAAGAAGGGGUGGGGGAGGGUAAGGGGAAAAGAAGCACCGGCUAACUACGUG
Molecule: ribosomal RNA, 469 nt
Filed under: uncultured bacterium
Lineage: Bacteria
Description: partial 16S ribosomal RNA
Rfam family: Bacterial small subunit ribosomal RNA
Source: RNAcentral